CAGCAGCCGCGGUAAUACGUAGGGUGCAAGCGUUAAUCGGAAUUACUGGGCGUAAAGCGUGCGCAGGCGGUUUCGUAAGACAGAUGUGAAAUCCCCGGGCUUAACCUGGGAACUGCAUUUGUGACUGCGAGGCUAGAGUGUGUCAGAGGGGGGUGGAAUUCCACGUGUAGCAGUGAAAUGCGUAGAUAUGUGGAGGAACACCGAUGGCGAAGGCAGCCCCUGGGAUAACACUGACGCUCAUGCACGAAAGCGUGGGGAGCAAACAGGAUUAGAGACCCGAGUAGUCCCUGUCUCUUAUACA
RNAcentral lists this ribosomal RNA (301 nucleotides) under uncultured bacterium. Its description in RNAcentral is "partial 16S ribosomal RNA". It matches the Rfam family "Bacterial small subunit ribosomal RNA", at positions 509 to 808 of the family's 1533-position model. The record is from RNAcentral.